Molecule: long non-coding RNA, 644 nt
Organism: Helianthus annuus (common sunflower)
Lineage: Eukaryota; Viridiplantae; Streptophyta; Magnoliopsida; Asterales; Asteraceae
Exons: 2
Source: RefSeq, a predicted model, not a curated record
UCUUUACAUGCUGUAUGUAUCAUAUAUAUACAGCUGUGUUCCAUAUCAUGGUGAACAUAGUAAAUGAAAAAAAAAUCUUUAGAUUCACAUCCCAAUCUUCAAUCUGAUAGAUGUAACACAACUUGCGUAAACCUUGCGAGUAAAAGACCACCGGAGUUCCGGCGACUCCGUCAUCGGACCACAACUUCAUGUCGCGGUGAACCGUGAUUUUAUUGAAGCUGCUGGAAGAACCCACCGGAUCUCCAAAAAACUGUCGUCUCCGGCGACGGUUAAGCAGCCGGAGAUCGGCGUCGUCGCUGCCGGUAAAUGUGCCGAACUGACAUCGUUGAUGAUGAUGAGGAGGAUGAUUGUAGCGUCGGUUAACCGGGGAGUUGAAUCGCCGGGGGAAGAUUUUCGGGUAAGAGAUUGUUAUGCGUGACGGUAGGAACCGUGGCCGGUGAUGUUGGAGAUAUUGUUACGUCGUCGUUUCAGAAAGUGAUUCUGCCGUUUGAUUUGAAUGUUCCGGCAACGGUGGAAGACACGUGCGGUUUUCCGGUGGACGAUGGGGGAUAAUAGUUUUUGAAACAACACAGAGACUAAGGAAAAAAAAGUGAUUUGGAUAUUGUGUAUUCGAUUCUUAAAUACGUUAAAGGAUGUUGAUGAUG